Molecule: ribosomal RNA, 443 nt
Filed under: uncultured bacterium
Lineage: Bacteria
Description: partial 16S ribosomal RNA
Rfam family: Bacterial small subunit ribosomal RNA
Source: RNAcentral
CCUACGGGGUGCAGCAGUGGGGAAUAUUGGGCAAUGGAGGAAACUCUGACCCAGCAACGCCGCGUGAAUGAUGAAGGUCUUCGGAUUGUAAAGUUCUUUUCUAAGGGAAGAAGAAAGUGACGGUACCUUAGGAAUAAGCCUCGGCUAACUACGUGCCAGCAGCCGCGGUAAUACGUAGGAGGCAAGCGUUAUCCGGAAUGACUGGGCGUAAAGGGUGCGUAGGUGGUUUGAUAAGUUGGUAGCGUAACUCCGAGGCUCAACCAUGGCACUACUACCAAAACUGUCGGACUUGAGUGCAGGAGGGGCAACUGGAAUGCCUAGUGUAGCGGUGGAAUGCAUAGAUAUUAGGAGGAACACCAGUGGCGAAGGCGAAUUGCUGGACUGUAACUGACACUGAGGCACGAAAGCGUGGGGAGCAAACAGGAUUAGAUACCCCGGUAGUC